RNAcentral lists this ribosomal RNA (460 nucleotides) under uncultured bacterium. RNAcentral describes it as "partial 16S ribosomal RNA". It matches the Rfam family "Bacterial small subunit ribosomal RNA", at positions 338 to 795 of the family's 1533-position model. The record is from RNAcentral.
CCUACGGGAGGCAGCAGUGAGGAAUAUUGGUCAAUGGGCUUACGCCUGAACCAGCCAAGUCGCGUGAGGGAAGACUGCCCUAUGGGUUGUAAACCUCUUUUGUCAGGGAGCAAAGCCGGCCACGUGUAGCUGGACUGAGAGUAUCUGAAGAAAAAGCAUCGGCCAACUCCGUGCCAGCAGCCGGGGGAAUACGGAGGUGGGUAGCGUUAUCCGGAUGUAUUGGGUUUAAAGGGUGCGUAGGUGGAAGUCCAAGUCAGCGGUAAAAUCGCGGGGCACAACCACGCUCAGCCGUUGAAACUGGCGUUCUUGAGUGGGCGAGAAGUAUGCGGAAUGCGUGGUGUAGCGGUGAAAUGCAUAGAUAUCGCGCAGAACUCCGAUUGCGAAGGCAGCAUACCGGCGCCCAACUGACGCUGAAGCACGAAAGCGUGGGUAUCGAACAGGAUUAGAUACCCUAGUAGUC